Musa acuminata AAA Group (dessert banana) is the source of this 1535-nucleotide long non-coding RNA. RefSeq lists it as uncharacterized. The record is from RefSeq and is a predicted model, not a curated record. The transcript is spliced from 3 exons. NCBI's taxonomy places the organism in Eukaryota, Viridiplantae, Streptophyta, Magnoliopsida, Zingiberales, Musaceae.
CGAUGCCGUGGCAUUCCCUCACAUCGCCGAUGCGAUGUUGCUGCUUCCUUUCGACGCUGCCGCUGCUUCCCAGUAUGCACCAAUGUACCGUGUGUCGGUACACCGGUACUGGGCGGCACACCGACGUCGACCGAUAAGUCAAACCUUGGUAUACAUUUGAUAUAUUUUAUGAUUUAUGACUUUGGGAAGAUCUCACCAGAGAAUUAACCUCACAUCUCAUCACUUGUAAUGUCACAUUUUCAUAUGUUCGAAGAGACUUGUAUCGAUUUAUAAGGAUUAUAUGAGUCUACUAUAGUUAACUUGAGUUUUAAGUAUCAACAUUGGUUUAUAAGGAUUCAGAUGAUUUUACUAUAGUUGAUUUGUCAAGUUAAUGAGACAGUUAACUCAUCGAGUUAGUCGUGAUAAAUGGCACAAAAAAAUUAUCUUAAAAAAAAUUGGUUAAUGUUAAUUUCAGAUUUUCAGUUUCGAAGGCCCUAAUGGUUCUAAUAGAUAAGAAAUGAGUAGCAAAAGUGUUAACUAAAGUAAUCAGAUUCUUCCAUGUAGCAGACUGGAUUGAUACAGAAUGAUCACUGAGAAAGGUUAUUUGACAUUCAUGAAUCUUCUUAUUUAUGUUCUUGUGGCCAUCACUGCUAACCACAGUGGAACGUGCUUUUAUGGAAGUUUCUCUAAAUAAAGAUGCUGAAACACUUUCAAGCUUGAAAUUUUGAUUACAGCUUCACAGCAGAUACUUCAAGUGUGUUUAAAGGCAGCAAAUACUUCAAGAUUGAGCAGAGUGAUAUCAGCAGAGAAAUAGGAUGGCUGGAUCCAAGCACAGCAUUCUCAUCAACAAGACAGCAACAGCAGUAUAGGUUAGCAAGGCUGCGAAACAAAACAUUCUAGUCAGUGGCGAAGUCAUCAAAAAACCGUACUUAUCUCCGAGAUCCAGCGAGCCAAUCGCCCCAUUCGAUUCAGGGUUGAUUUUGAGCUUUCCAUGAUGGAUUUUUGGUUCGAGGAUCUUGAAGACGGAGGUAUCUGCAUUGGUUCUUCUGGUGUUGGCUUGUGGUGUACAAUCUAUGCAUUUCUUUGUGUCUUCAAGAUGGAGGAUCUUGAAGAUUUUGGGUGGGAGCCGAUAGAAGGUACAAGAUUUGGUGUUGCAUUGGCAGUGCAUUCGGUAGCAUGCUUGCCAAGACUGCCAGGCGAAGUAGUUCACGGUGCUAUGCCUUCAGGCGAAGUAGUUCGUGUGGUUUGCCAUGUCAGUUUGUCGUUCUGCUUCCACAUUUAUGAAGUCCGCCUCUUGUUUUGACUACAAUCUUUUUACUCAGAUUUUUUUAGCAAUUUUAGCUACAUUAGUCUAUCUUUUGAUGCAGAGCAUUAACAAAAUUUAAAAGGUCAAGUGACCAGUUUUUGUAAUUCAUGUAAGUGCUUUGUCUUCAAUACAUGCCUGUAGCCCUGCAGACAACCAGUGGCUUGAUUCUUUCUAUUGGGAAGAUUUAAAAGCUGGUCUACCUCUCUUCUAUUUUUCAGAAAUAAGAUGGUAUCCAAUUGAUCCUCUUGUA